GUUACCGCGGAUGGUCUGUGGAGGGCAAUGCUCCUCCUGCGGCAUUCCUCAAGUUCAGCUUUAAGCAUUGAUCCUACGACUUUCUGCAGCGAGAUGGACACGAGAAUAUCACACCAGAACACUGAUCGGUCGAACGUUUUACCAGCCUGAAGGCCAGUAGUCGUCGUUCUCAAGCGCUAAGGCAUCUGGCCCUGGACACACUCCACCCAACCGAGCCGGAUCGAACAGAUCAAAUUGAUUGCGGACCUGGAGUUCCGGGCUUCGCCUAAGCAGCUCUGUGCAUGGUACUGUACAGUACAUGGACAUUGUAGUCGUGGCUACAAAUUGAAUGAACUCUGCACCAAGGAAGAACACCUCUUUUUAUCAUCCAU
Molecule: small RNA, 371 nt
Filed under: Histoplasma ohiense
Lineage: Eukaryota; Fungi; Ascomycota; Eurotiomycetes; Onygenales; Ajellomycetaceae
Description: hypothetical lncRNA
Source: RNAcentral